RNAcentral lists this ribosomal RNA (332 nucleotides) under uncultured bacterium. RNAcentral's name for it is "bacterial SSU rRNA". It matches the Rfam family "Bacterial small subunit ribosomal RNA", at positions 568 to 898 of the family's 1533-position model. The record is from RNAcentral.
CGCGUAGGCGGCUUGGCAAGUCAGAUGUGAAAGCCCCGGGCUUAACUCGGGAGUUGCAUCUGAAACUGCUUUGCUUGAGUCCUGGAGGGGGUAGUGGAAUUCCCAGUGUAGCGGUGAAAUGCGUAGAUAUUGGGAGGAACACCUGCGGCGAAGGCGGCUACCUGGACAGUGACUGACGCUGAUGCGCGAAAGCUAGGGGAGCGAACGGGAUUAGAUACCCCGGUAGUCCUAGCCGUAAACGAUGGGCACUUGGUGUUGGGGGUAUUGAGUCCCCCGGUGCCGGAGUUAACACGUUAAGUGCCCCGCCUGGGGAGUACGGUCGCAAGACUGAA